AUUGAACGCUGGCGGCAGGCCUAACACAUGCAAGUCGAGCGAGCGGCGGACGGGUGAGUAAUAUCUGGGAAACUGCCUGAUGGAGGGGGAUAACUACUGGAAACGGUAGCUAAUACCGCAUACCAUCGGAUGUGCCCAGAUGGGAUUAGCGAGUAGGUGGGGGAACGGCUCACCUAGGCGAAGAUCCCUAGCUGGUCUGAGAGGAUGACCAGCAACAAUGGAACUGAGACACGGGCCAGACUCCUGCGGGAGGCAGCAGUGGGGAAUAUUGCACAAUGGGCGCAAGCCUGAUGCAGCCAUGCCGCGUGUAUGAAGAAGGCCUUCGGGUUGUAAAGUACUUUCAGCGGGGAGGCGUUACCCGCAGAAGAAGCACCGGCUAACGCCGUGCCAGCCGCCGCGGUAAUAC
This 406-nucleotide ribosomal RNA is filed under the name uncultured bacterium. RNAcentral's name for it is "partial 16S ribosomal RNA". It matches the Rfam family "Bacterial small subunit ribosomal RNA", at positions 29 to 526 of the family's 1533-position model. The record is from RNAcentral.